Molecule: long non-coding RNA, 947 nt
Filed under: Salvia miltiorrhiza (redroot sage)
Lineage: Eukaryota; Viridiplantae; Streptophyta; Magnoliopsida; Lamiales; Lamiaceae
Description: long non-coding RNA (SMIL_LNC004831)
Source: RNAcentral
GGGAAAAAAAAACUAAACUAAAGGAAAACACCACCACAACAAAAACACCAACAAAGUCUAUUACCAAACAUAUUGCAAAUUGUGUUUAAUACCAUCACUUUUGCAAAAUGAUUUUAAAUCCAUAUCUCAGAUUCCCAGCCACAACUAAGAUCACAUGCAAUACUAAUUAUACGCGUGUAAAAACAGCCCAAAAUAUAUACCAUGCCUUCAUUGCUCGCUUUAGCUCUUCAGAAUGGUCGAACAAACUCGCGCAAUAUCGACGGCGAAAUUUUGGACAACGGCUAGGGAUUAUGUCAUGAACAGGAACCUUAUAUGCACAACAUUCCAUGUAUUUCAUUGCCAUUACCCCACAACCAUGUUCAUUCACCUACCUCGGUGGGCUGUCGAAUUCAAUCACCUGCCACCUUUCAUUUGAUGCAUCACUUGAACUGGCAUGAGGAGCACACAAACCAGCCAUAGUACAAAUGACAGGCAAGUUCUUGGCAACAUUUUUGAAAUGUGCCACAACAUAUUUCCAAUUCUACUUCAGCGAAUUGUAAACUGUAAUUAGGCGCUCAUGUAAUGAAAUGUCAAAGAAUACCCAGUGGUUAUUGUUGAUGUACGCAACACCGAAAAUGAUUUUAUUAGAAUACUUACACACAAUUUUCAUUCAUUAAACAAUAUCACGAAAUCCUCGAACUACUAUUUAAUUUGCAUUUUCGUCAAUAUCACAAUAUUAAAAGGUAGAAUACUUACUUGAUUUGAAGAAGAAGCCAUAGCCGUGAAUUAUUCUAUCUAUCUCUCUGUAAAUUUCAUAGAGCAAAUUGCAAAUUUGUAAAUAAUCACUUCGUGAAUUAUUUUUGAUAGAUAAUCAAAGUGGAAAAUCAUGAAAAUUAUUCUCAUGAAAAUUUGCAAAUAAACACGCAUAAGCUUACCUCACCAACAAUUGGACUACACAACAAGCAAAC